CCCGGAGGAGGCUGCGAGCGCGCCGCCCGCGGGGCUUCUCAGAGGCGGGGCGGCGGCUGGGCAGGCCCGAGCCGGGCUCCCGCGGCCGGGGUGGGAGGAGGAGAGGCCGCGCGGCGCGGGGUGAGUGCCCAGGUUCAUUCAUGCAGCAGGCAUUUAUUGGGUGACUGCAGUACUGCAAAAGGUUGCAAAGGAAAUGGAAGAUCUGGUCCCUGCAGUAGUGAUCUUGCGUGACUGGCUCAGUGCAAAACCCUCUAGCUCAACCUUCCUGUGACUAACUUGUAUUCCAGGAGACUAUCUGGAAGGAUUCAAGGAAUUUAUGCUAUGAAAAUAAUCAUCAAUCAUUCAAAGAUUUGUAUAAAAUGAUUAUCGUCUACUAUUUUUGGAAAUGCCAACAAUAAAGCACAAGUUGAAAAAAAAAUGGAUGAUAAAGGUAGGUGCAUUUCUUUCAAAAAAUCAUUUCCCAGGGGGCACAGCCUUAUCUCAUCCUCUGCCUGCAUCCCAGUCUGUGACCCAUUUCCUGGCAACCUUGAGGGCUAGAUGCUCAUCAGGACUGUCCAUGGCCUUGCUCACGUUCUGAAGCUGCUUGAGUGUCUAAUUUACUUAACUUCGCUUAAUUUAGCUACAUUGCGGAGAUGUGGAUUUUAAAAGCUAGUCCUGUGGAUGAAUGCCCUCAGGACUAUCAAAUUAAUUUCUUCCUCAAAUUAAACAAAUAUAUUUCAAA
Hyaena hyaena (striped hyena) is the source of this 721-nucleotide long non-coding RNA. RefSeq lists it as uncharacterized. The transcript has 5 exons. The record is from RefSeq and is a predicted model, not a curated record. NCBI's taxonomy places the organism in Eukaryota, Metazoa, Chordata, Mammalia, Carnivora, Hyaenidae.